Molecule: non-coding RNA, 441 nt
Organism: Equus caballus (horse)
Lineage: Eukaryota; Metazoa; Chordata; Mammalia; Perissodactyla; Equidae
Source: RefSeq, a predicted model, not a curated record
AAGGUACACACUUCCUGCGACGGAGAGCGACGACAGCAAGGCUGCACUCCGACAGGGGCGGGUCGCAGCCGGGGAACCAGGCGCUCACGCUUCUUUCAGCUAUGUGUUUUCCAUCCUGAUAUUCGCAGAGCUGACUGCACUGAUCGGUCACCUGGCAGUUAUGAUUCCCGACACAAACGUAAAGCAUCAUCCGGCUUCGUACUGCGGAUGUGUCUUACUGAACCUCACGGCCACGUUCCCAGGAGGGAAAUCCUGGUGUUCCUCAGAUGGGAAUUUUGACCCAUUGCACUUAUCCUUCCCCUGGCAGCACUAACAAGAGCUUCAUGAAGACAAGUGUCCCGUGUCAGUUUAUCUGCAGAUGUGUGUCCACACACCAGCACAGUGCCUGCUACACAGCAGCUGUUCAAUCAUUCUGUUGAAUAAAUUAAUUAAAACACUUAA